This is a long non-coding RNA of Meleagris gallopavo (turkey), 2875 nucleotides long. RefSeq lists it as uncharacterized. NCBI's taxonomy places the organism in Eukaryota, Metazoa, Chordata, Aves, Galliformes, Phasianidae. The record is from RefSeq and is a predicted model, not a curated record.
GCGUUUCAGCCCGGAGCCACACGCAGCCGUCCCAGCAGCGCUCCCAGGAGCCGCGCACACCUCAGACCUUACGGCUGGUUUGUAAUAUAAUCAGCAGCCGCCCGGGCGGAGGCUGAUGUCACUCGAUUACCAUACGGUACGGUAGAGGAAACGUAGGCUGUACCAAGGGCGAAGGGGCGGUGGAGCUGGGGAAGAGCGGGGCUGGCGGUGGGACGCUGGGGAGGCUCCUUCCGCUGGAAGCGCCCGGCGUGGCGGCAGCACCCAAACCGAGGGCAGCGUACGGGAUGGCUGCCCGCGCCCCGCUGCACCACACGAGCCGGUGGUAUCUUCCUAAACAAAGCUGGUGGAAUUACACGCUUCUGUGGAGAGCCUCAUGUAACGGAAAAGUCUCAGAUUACUAUCGCUUGAAAAGGAGGGCACUUCUCUUCAUUUAUUUUCAAUACCGUUCGCUUGAAAAAGCAACACGCGCACAGAAGCACUCAUUCAGUAUUUAGCAGCAGGCGAGGAGAGGACUCAGAAAAACGUGCUCUCCAGCAUGCUGGGUACAAACGAAACCUUUGUGAAGGGGUUCUGUAAGCAGCCAAUUCCUUUCGCUCAAUUCCAUGUCGCUGCCGACGUGGAAGAUGUUGACACGUCCCGUGCACGUGAGCGCAGGUGCCCGCUCUGCCUGGUGGAGUGCAGCUCCUGGAGUUGGCUUUAGGAUGGGUCAGCUUUCCCUUGGGGCCGUGAGCUCCUUCCCUCACUUACACACAAGUGAAAUGAAAAGGUUGGCAUGUGGGCUGAACAACGGGUCCCCAAGCAACAGAUGUGACAGACUUUGUUAAUGAUGAUAUCAGCUCCUUGGGAUGGCCCCAAUCACCGGGUGCUGCCGACUCAUCUGCCAGAGCAUUACUUACGCUCUGCUGGGCCUCCUGUGGACAUUUUGAAGGCUCCACUUAACAGGUACAGGCAGAGCAGGUCUGCUCCUCUUACUAACUUGUCAUUCCUGGGACACUUGGCAACUAUCUCAGACGGUCAACUGAACACAAACUAAACAGAGCUUCUCGUCAGUAAUGCUUCCUUGUCAGAACUGCAGUUUAAUUCUUCUGUCUAAAGGGAGUUUUAGGUCAGUGGCAAAUAGAAACUUCCUCAAAGUCCCUUCCUGAUAUGUUUGGGAGAGCCAAGGACAUCGUAAUGGAAGGGAAAGGGGCAGACUGAAAAGCAGGAGACCACAGAGACUGCUGUCACUAAAGGACCUGCACACACUUCCCUCCUGCCUGGCCCAGGUAGGCCUGCAGCAGCUCAGCACUGGUCCCUGGUACAGACCUGGGCUCAGGAUGAACCUGCAUGCGGUGACAAAGGCGGCACAAACCCUUCGGGAAAACUGACGGAUCUGCCCAUAAUGUCAACCUACUACUGAAACUGGGUCAGUUCCACCUGGUUUCGAGUUUCAGAGUGAACAGUUUUCACAACUCCCAGAUGAACAGGAAAGUUGACAUGACUUUUGCAAGAGCAUGUCCUUGCUAAGCACAGCAGCGGAACGCUUGCCAGAAAAGCCUGCAGAGAAGAGCUAUUCUAGCAUUUCGUGUCUGGAAAAGAUCGUGGCUUCUCUUGGUGUGUAUUCCAGUCUAAAUGGCUUUUUCUGAGCUGUAUUGCUUCCCAUAUCAAAGCAAGAAGAACCCCUGAAGUACCCCAGAAAUGACACUUGCAGGUUUUCCUUGUGGCCCACACAGAAUGCACUCAGUUUGCGACCUGACUUAGAUGAAUAACUCUUUUAAAAAGUCUAUUAAAAUCAAGCAUGGCACACAAUCAUACAGUUAAGAUGCUCAUUUUCUCUGAAAUUUUGGUGUGAAAGCACUUCUCGAUUUGAUUCCAGAGAAGAAGUUUUAGCAUGCUAUUUUAAAAGGUGAUGUUUUUAUUGCCUCUCCUCAACCCCUCUCCUUCUCUGACUGAAUUGCACCCACAUUUAUAUGUAGGGAGAAGAAAAUGUUUCACCACUCCUUGAUCUUUUCUUCCACUUGUCCUGUUUUCUUUUUUUUUCCCCCAGAAUUAGACAACAAACAGAGGAAGAGAUGCACUGUUGCUGCACCAUAAUCACUCGGGCAUGUAAAUUCAAUCUUCUGUAGCUACCGAGCCAAAUGAGAAUCGGGUGAAAACAAUAAGCAGGACACAUUGAUCUUUAUAAAUCUCCAUAAGCCAGAUAAUUUAUUUCUACCGUUUCUCCUGCUUCCCAUAUAUGGUAGGGAAAGCAGGGAGGCUGUAUUAAUGUUUGUAAAUAUAUCCUAAUGGUGACCAGCCAUUUCAUAGGUGAUAAGUUCAGGGGAAAGAAAUAAGAAGGCACCUUUCUGCUCUGCCUGUUCCGUAACCGGAGAAACUCGAGCCUCUAAACUAGAAACCUCUGAACCAAACUGAGCUGCAUAAAGAACCUGAGCUCCUCUUAUACCUAAGCAACAAAGUUCCAGAACAGCAUAGGUACAGGCAUGAGCUGUUCCUAUAGUUCAUUCAAAAUAAACUGGGGAGAAAACAGGAAAAUGUUGUUAAAAAAGGUGUUGGAAGUUGUGUUCUUGUUGGUGUUGUUUGCUUGUAGUCCCAGAUGCAGAACUAUGAGCUGAAAGCUUCGUUUUGAAAAUCAACAUAAAUGAAAUGCUUCUUUCAAGAGAAAACCUCACCCACAACAUUUCAUCAUCUGGCGACUGCCUGUCAUUGCAAAGAAAAAAAGUUUAAUGAUCAACUGACUAAAUACUAAUUGUCUGACAUAAAGUUAUUAUUCCACAACAAGCCAUGUUUCAUUCUCACACAUGUACAAGAGCUGCCUGUGUACAACAUACAUCCACCCCAAAGGCUUAAUAACAUUUAAAGAAAGUAAAACAAUGUUUAAAAAAUCCACAUUGUGCAA